RNAcentral lists this long non-coding RNA (1863 nucleotides) under Nicotiana tabacum (common tobacco). RNAcentral describes it as "long non-coding RNA (NTAB_LNC016490)". The record is from RNAcentral. Lineage: Eukaryota; Viridiplantae; Streptophyta; Magnoliopsida; Solanales; Solanaceae.
UAUGUACCCCUUUUUCAAAAAAUAUACACUAAAUAGGUACAGUCAAUUGAGAGCUAUUCAAUCAACCAUAAUGUAAACGUAGUUGAACAAGUAGAGAAACAUCAAAGGCAAAUCUAUAUUAAACAUAGUAGAAAAUUAUCCUCCAAUAGAUUCCAUCAAACCCUAGAUUAGAAAGUUUAGCUACUCAUAAAUGUAUCAACAAUCAUCAUGAUGUUCAAAGACAUUAAACUACAAAGUAAGGAGAUAAACGGAGGAAACACUCGUUUGAUUCUCGCACCACGGUGCUCUGUAGCCUUUUUCUUCUCCAAAAUAGUGUCCAACAGUUUCUCAACUCGUUAAGGGAGUAUUUUUAUUUUAGGGCCGGAAUCCCUUAGUCAAAAUUCGGGUUAGAAUCUUUUAACCCGCAACUUUUAAUUACUGGGUUAUAAACCUCGCGAGGCAAGGCUUAUAGCGCGGUCAGCCUGGCUACAGAGCUGGCUUGUAGCGCGGUCAAGCUAGCUAUAGAGCUGGCUUUACUUGGUCUGUAGCAUGGUAAAGCAGGCUAUAGAGCUGGCUGUAUUUGGUAUGUAGCACGAUUUGGGUACUUGAUGCUUUUGUGCUCUUUUCUUGCAUUUUUGUCCUCUUUUUGUGCAACUUUCAUCUGACUCUUUCUUCUGGUGCUCCUACACAUAAAACAACACAAUUUAGCUCAAAUGUCACACAAUUAAUCACUAAACAAACAAAAUAUAGGGCGAGUAAUGUAUUAAAAGUAUAGCAUUUUGGCCGAACAUAAAUAAUAAAGUAAUAAUUUCUUAAUUUGUUUUUUAUUUAAUCAUUUUUUAAAAUCAAAUUCAUUGUUUUCACUCGCUUUAUACGCGUAUAUUUCACACAUCUCGUCCAACUCAGCAGAUUUAAUGCCACAUAAGCUUGGCCAAUGGUAAGAAGCGUUAAAAAUAUUAGUUUUGGUCGAGUUGAGGUGUUUGCAUGAAACUUUGUGGAGUAUAGGGGUCGGGAUGUAAAAUCGAAAUAAGUGCGGGGGUCUCCUAAGCUAUUCUGCCUAUUAGUUAGCGUAAUUCUUAGAUUUAGUCACUCCGAAAGCUAAUUUAAGGUAUAUUUAGUCUCAUUCUUAGAUAUCUAUCAUAACAUCUAUUUUAAUUUCUUGUGGUUAGACGUGGAUUCUUAGUUGGAUUAUUAUUGCAACGACUGUUUUGCUUUUCCUUUAGAGGUGCAUGGGUGGUUUAUUUAAAAAUAAAUUUGCUCAAGAGUAAUAAUUCAAAACAUAAUUAAAAACCAUACUUCGAAAUGAAAAACUUGACCAGUAAGCUAUUGCACCAUGGACAACUGCCCUCUUUGGUUUGGUGAUCGGCCAUUAUAAUUAUUUCUUCGUUUAUUACUUCGAUUUGAUGCAACGCGGUCUGUAGAUGGUUUAUUGCUCCUAGGCAAACGUGAAGGAUCGUUGAAUAUCUUUCCUUCAUUUCGGAUAGAUACAGAUGGACAGUUCUCCUUCCUAUUUUGACGUCGCAAAUUGCCUACCCCAGCCAUAAUUGAAACGCGACCCUGUGUUGUUGAAUUAUUGGAAUCCAUCUUUCAGAUCUCUGUGAUUAUUACUUUUACAGCCAAAAACUAGCAGAAAAAUUUGAGGACCGAAAGCAGAAAAUAGGAAAAACCAAACCCAAACUAAUUACCUUCUUAGUAUGAGUAGUCAACAAAAUUACACACAGAAAGGACUUGAGGCUUGCAUUUAUAGUGUCAGAUCUGGCUUUACGAAACAACGAAAGACUUGACCGAAAACAAAAGGGGAAAAAAAGGACGAGAUACGGAAUAAGGAGUGCGAAAAAUUUCCGCCAUCCUUGUUUGAAGUCCGAGUUAUUCCCUUAAAAAAAA